This 633-nucleotide unclassified non-coding RNA is filed under the name Hevea brasiliensis (rubber tree). Lineage: Eukaryota; Viridiplantae; Streptophyta; Magnoliopsida; Malpighiales; Euphorbiaceae. The record is from RNAcentral.
GUAGGAGGCAGUGGAAGCUUGGAGAAUUGAGACGAUACAUUGUAGAAAUUUCACAUUUAUUCCAACGUAAACAUUUCACCUCAUUAGUGCGCAAGUAGGAGACUCUAAUGGAGCCCACAGUCUCAUAUUCUCCAUCCAUGCACGGACACGUGUUGCUUUCUUGGGUUUCUUCCAUAUUCGAGAAAGAUCGCCCUUUCUCCAUCUUCAUGAAGAAUCAAGAACGAACUCACCAUCUCCAGAAGCUUUAAAUCCAUCAUAACCCAGUUAAGAAAACAAACCCUAUAAAUACCUCCUUUCUUUAACCCUUAAAAUCAAGAAAACCCAUUCCAAGCAAAGAAAUACCAAGAAGCCUUCACUAAGCAAUCUCAGUUAAUUCUUCUCUGAUCAAUUCCCGUUUCAAAACCAAGGAAGAAAAUGUCUCUUAUUCCAAGCAGCCUCUUUGGUGGCCGUAGAACAAACAUCUUCGACCCCUUCUCUCUCGACGUCUGGGACCCCUUCCAUGACUUCCCAUUCCCAAGCACAGCUCUCUCGGCUCCUCGCUUCGAGUUCGCAAACGAAACGUCAGCUUUUGCCAACACACGCAUAGACUGGAAGGAGACUCCGGAGGCUCACGUUUUCAAGGCUGACCUUCCA